Molecule: long non-coding RNA, 309 nt
Filed under: Hordeum vulgare
Lineage: Eukaryota; Viridiplantae; Streptophyta; Magnoliopsida; Poales; Poaceae
Description: long non-coding RNA (HVUL_LNC008292)
Source: RNAcentral
CAGCAUGCUUGCACGGAAGAAGGUUGACUAGCUCGACGUCACACGUGACGCUUCACUGAUGGACGAUAUUAUUCAGAGUGAUUACAAAGAUGUUGCAUAUCGAGUCUGGGAGAAAGGUAGGGACACAAUUAAUCCAAACAAGAUAGGUUUUCAAAUCUUAGCCCAAAUAUAAUUUAUAUUGAUUCUACCCAUACCAUUUGUAUGUUGCAAUUUUCUUCCAUAUUGUUGAUUUCAUCCUUUCUAAUAAGCCGAUCGAAUAGUGAAUAAUCCAUUUCCUGUAUAACUCCAAGCAAUGAAGUCAGUCGUAUU